UGUAGGGAUUGAGAUUCCAACACAGUAGCUUGGCCAAUAUUGCCUUUUGCAAACGAUGUGUAACCCCGAGGUAUUACUUUGUUGCAAACUUAAUCUCAGGCCUUGAUUUAAAAAUGUGAGAAACCAAAGUGCACUUUUUUGUAAUUUCCCCUUAAAUAUAACAAUGUUAUUACUAGAGAAAGUGUUAUGGUAGAUUGAUGUAAAGGAAAGUAAAAGGAGUGAAUGCAAAGAAUU
This 234-nucleotide unclassified non-coding RNA is filed under the name Hevea brasiliensis (rubber tree). Lineage: Eukaryota; Viridiplantae; Streptophyta; Magnoliopsida; Malpighiales; Euphorbiaceae. The record is from RNAcentral.